This 483-nucleotide ribosomal RNA is filed under the name uncultured bacterium. RNAcentral's name for it is "partial 16S ribosomal RNA". It matches the Rfam family "Bacterial small subunit ribosomal RNA", at positions 27 to 507 of the family's 1533-position model. The record is from RNAcentral.
GGGGGGGGGGGGGGGGGGGCGGAGGGGGGGGGGGGGGGCGGGGGAGGGGGGCUUGGGCCUGGAUUCAGCGGCGGACGGGGGAGUAAUGCCUAGGAAUCUGCCUGGUAGUGGGGGAUAACGUCCGGAAACGGGCGCUAAUACCGCAUACGUCCUGAGGGAGAAAGUGGGGGAUCUUCGGACCUCACGCUAUCAGAUGAGCCUAGGUCGGAUUAGCUAGUUGGUGGGGUAAAGGCCUACCAAGGCGACGAUCCGUAACUGGUCUGAGAGGAUGAUCAGUCACACUGGAACUGAGACACGGUCCAGACUCCUACGGGAGGCAGCAGUGGGGAAUAUUGGACAAUGGGCGAAAGCCUGAUCCAGCCAUGCCGCGUGUGUGAAGAAGGUCUUCGGAUUGUAAAGCACUUUAAGUUGGGAGGAAGGGCAGUAAGUUAAUACCUUGCUGUUUUGACGUUACCAACAGAAUAAGCACCGGCUAACUUCGUG